This 603-nucleotide ribosomal RNA is filed under the name Shigella dysenteriae. Its description in RNAcentral is "partial 23S ribosomal RNA". It matches the Rfam family "Bacterial large subunit ribosomal RNA", at positions 2242 to 2839 of the family's 2925-position model. Lineage: Bacteria; Pseudomonadati; Pseudomonadota; Gammaproteobacteria; Enterobacterales; Enterobacteriaceae. The record is from RNAcentral.
GGGUUGCGGACAGUGUCUGGUGGGUAGUUUGACUGGGGCGGUCUCCUCCUAAAGAGUAACGGAGGAGCACGAAGGUUGGCUAAUCCUGGUCGGACAUCAGGAGGUUAGUGCAAUGGCAUAAGCCAGCUUGACUGCGAGCGUGACGGCGCGAGCAGGUGCGAAAGCAGGUCAUAGUGAUCCGGUGGUUCUGAAUGGAAGGGCCAUCGCUCAACGGAUAAAAGGUACUCCGGGGAUAACAGGCUGAUACCGCCCAAGAGUUCAUAUCGACGGCGGUGUUUGGCACCUCGAUGUCGGCUCAUCACAUCCUGGGGCUGAAGUAGGUCCCAAGGGUAUGGCUGUUCGCCAUUUAAAGUGGUACGCGAGCUGGGUUUAGAACGUCGUGAGACAGUUCGGUCCCUAUCUGCCGUGGGCGCUGGAGAACUGAGGGGGGCUGCUCCUAGUACGAGAGGACCGGAGUGGACGCAUCACUGGUGUUCGGGUUGUCAUGCCAAUGGCACUGCCCGGUAGCUAAAUGCGGAAGAGAUAAGUGCUGAAAGCAUCUAAGCACGAAACUUGCCCCGAGAUGAGUUCUCCCUGACUCCUUGAGAGUCCUGAAGGAACGUU